CAACUGAACCCAGUACUUACUUAAUUUAAGUGUAAAAAAUUCCUAAAAUUGCAAUAAAUAGCAGUAUGGUCGCAUAACUUUAAAUGCUGAACCCAUAAAACUAAAAUCCUAGAUCCGCUAGCUAUAUAUUUAUGUAUGUGUAACACACUGGAAAGGAAAGAAAAGACAGAAAACUUAAAAGUCUUUGUCUAUCACGGUAUAGAGCCGCGGUCUAGUAUUGUUUUAUAGUCGUGCUCUCUGUUCGGGUCAAAAGGAAUUUCAAUUCGGGAUUUUUGUAGAACGCAAGGGUCUUUUUAGGAUGCUGAAUGGAUCCGUUCCUAAGCCUGAUGAUGCAAAGGAACGAGUUCAGUGGAAGUUGAACAAUGCUAAGGUCCAUGGGCGAAGCUACAUGUUAUAAAGGGUUGUUGGAAAAUUACACUGAAUUUCAGAGAAAAAAUGACGAAUGAAAACCAAACUAAUGGAAAUGUUGC
Long non-coding RNA from Nicotiana attenuata, 470 nucleotides. RefSeq lists it as uncharacterized. NCBI's taxonomy places the organism in Eukaryota, Viridiplantae, Streptophyta, Magnoliopsida, Solanales, Solanaceae. The record is from RefSeq and is a predicted model, not a curated record. The transcript is spliced from 3 exons.